AAAACAUCUUCCAUUCUCUCUCCCCAAAACUGAAACCUAGUCUCUCUCUACUCUUCAUUGCUGCAAUUUUUUUCUCUCCAAGAGCCAAGAUCACUCAUUCCCCCAUUGAAGGAGGGAGAAGCUCAAGAGCACACUAGGGAAGAGGUUCAAGAGAGGCUUGUACGGGUAGUACCUCAAGGAGUUAACACUUUGGUGAUCUAGUGGAAGCAAGGUUUUGAGAUUUUAUAGCACUAAGGAAAGGUGUUGAAGAGCUAAGGAACAUAUCUCCAAGCUAGGGCUUCGAAAGUAACCGCGAAAAGGAAAAUGAACAGCGGUGUUAAAGAUCCAGCUAGGAGUUAAGGACUCCAAGUAAGUGCAAAAGUAAAGUGGAGCAACGAGCGCUGGAGUCUGCUUGUGGAUAUGUACAUGUGGCUUGACCUGGGGAGGUUUUUGAUGGAUCACCAUUUGAAAAGAAAAAGCUAGAAGUUUGUUAUUUCUUUUGGGAUAAUUGUUUUGUUAUAACUCUGUGGAAGAGAAGUUGUAUUUCUGUUUGCUAAACUAAAAGUGUGCGCACACGACUUUUUAAAAGUUUUUUUUAUGGAUUUUUGGUACAAUAAUUUAAAGUAAAAGUUUAGAUUUCUCCAUUUUUUGGUCUUGUGUGUUUUGAGGGUCGUUACAAUGUUGAGGAAGUUUGUCAAAGACCCCAUCCAUGUACUUAGCUACGAGCAGCUAGAUGUGGAUCCAAAGAUAUGUUACUAGGAGAAGCCAAUAAAAGUUUUGGAAAAGAUAAGGUGUUACGAAACAAAACUAUGCCACUGGUCAAGAUACAGUGGUGUAACCACAGGGUUGAAGAAGCAACUUGAGAACCCGAGGAUAAGAUGUGUGAGUUGUACCGUCAAUUGUUUUGAGCUUCUAGGAUGAAACUUAUAUAAAUUGUAGGUGUUGUAACGCCCCGUUUUUGGGCUCUAUCUGUUUACGUACCCAUAUUAUGUGAAUAAUAGUUGGAAGGUUAUUUUAUGUAUUUUUAUGUGGGAACCUAGUUCUUGUAUGUUAAA
Humulus lupulus (European hop) is the source of this 1034-nucleotide long non-coding RNA. RefSeq lists it as uncharacterized. The transcript is spliced from 5 exons. The record is from RefSeq and is a predicted model, not a curated record. Lineage: Eukaryota; Viridiplantae; Streptophyta; Magnoliopsida; Rosales; Cannabaceae.